RNAcentral lists this RNase P RNA (419 nucleotides) under Aurantiacibacter rhizosphaerae. RNAcentral's name for it is "Bacterial RNase P class A". It matches the Rfam family "Bacterial RNase P class A". From Rfam's summary of the family: Ribonuclease P (RNase P) is a ubiquitous endoribonuclease, found in archaea, bacteria and eukarya as well as chloroplasts and mitochondria. The record is from Rfam by way of RNAcentral. Lineage: Bacteria; Pseudomonadati; Pseudomonadota; Alphaproteobacteria; Sphingomonadales; Erythrobacteraceae.
CCGGGGAGCCGGGCAGCCGCGUCAUCAAUGUGCUUCGGCGCAAAGGUGUCGAGGAAAGUCCGGGCUCCACGAAACAAGGGUGGCGGGUAACGCCCGCCGUGGGCAACCGCAGGGAAAGUGCCACAGAGAGCAAACCGCCGAUGGCCCGUCAAACGGCACAGGCAAGGGUGAAAGGGUGCGGUAAAAGCGCACCGGGGGGCUGGUAACAGUUCCCGUCAUGGCAAACCCCACCCGGAGCAAGACCGCAUAGGGGUCUCGCGCCUUUAAAAGGGCAGCAGCGUUUCGCUGCGAGAGACCCGGGUUGGUUGCUUGAGCGCGCGGGAGCAAUCCCCCGCCGAGAUGAAUGGCUGCCCCCGCGGCGCUGAUGUGUCAGCAUAUCGGCUGCGGGACAGAACCCGGCUUACAGGCUCCCCGGCAAA